AUGAACGCUGGCGGCGUGCUUAACACAUGCAAGUCGAACGGAAAGGCCCAAGCUUGCUUGGGUACUCGAGUGGCGAACGGGUGAGUAACACGUGGGUGAUCUGCCCUGCACUUCGGGAUAAGCCUGGGAAACUGGGUCUAAUACCGGAUAGGACCACAUUUUGGAUGGUGUGGUGGAAAGUUUUUCGGUGUGGGAUGAGCUCGCGGCCUAUCAGCUUGUUGGUGGGGUAAUGGCCUACCAAGGCGUCGACGGGUAGCCGGCCUGAGAGGGUGUACGGCCACAUUGGGACUGAGAGACGGCCCAGACUCCUACGGGAGGCAGCAGUGGGGAAUAUUGCACAAUGGGCGCAAGCCUGAUGCAGCGACGCCGCGUGGGGGAUGACGGCCUUCGGGUUGUAAACUCCUUUCGCUAGGGACGAAGCGUUAUGUGACGGUACCUGGAGAAGAAGCACCGGCCAACUACGUG
RNAcentral lists this ribosomal RNA (465 nucleotides) under uncultured bacterium. RNAcentral describes it as "partial 16S ribosomal RNA". It matches the Rfam family "Bacterial small subunit ribosomal RNA", at positions 29 to 507 of the family's 1533-position model. The record is from RNAcentral.